This 412-nucleotide ribosomal RNA is filed under the name Bradybaena circulus hiroshihorii. RNAcentral describes it as "partial 16S rRNA". It matches the Rfam family "Bacterial large subunit ribosomal RNA", at positions 1832 to 2583 of the family's 2925-position model. The record is from RNAcentral. Lineage: Eukaryota; Metazoa; Mollusca; Gastropoda; Stylommatophora; Camaenidae.
AACUAUAUGAUAUUAUAUAUAGCUUUUUCUGCACAAUGUGAAAAUAUGAAUUGCCGCAGUACUUUGACUGUGCUAAGGUAGCAUAAUCAUUUGGCUUAUAAUUGAAGUCUAGUAUGAAUGAAAUCAUGGGGGUCUACUGUUUCAAAGACGCAUUUUGAAUUUUUCUGGUUGGUGAAAAUGCCAAUAAAUACUUAAUAGACGAGAAGACCCUUGAAAUUUUUAAUAAAUCUUUUUUGGAUAUGUUUUAGUUGGGGCGACAAAGUAGCAAAAAACCUACUUGAACUAAAUAAGCAUUAAAUAGGAUGAACAAAUAAAUUACUCUAGGGAUAACAGCAUAAUAUUAUAAAGUUUGUGACCUCGAUGUUGGACUAGGAUAAUAUAGCUUAGAAGGCUCCUAUUAUUGCUCUGUUCG